This 756-nucleotide ribosomal RNA is filed under the name Acanalonia sp. MW-2016. RNAcentral's name for it is "SSU rRNA". It matches the Rfam family "Eukaryotic small subunit ribosomal RNA", at positions 1027 to 1787 of the family's 1831-position model. Lineage: Eukaryota; Metazoa; Arthropoda; Insecta; Hemiptera; Acanaloniidae. The record is from RNAcentral.
UAACCAUAAACUAUGCCUGCCAGCGAUCCGCCGAAGUUCCUCCGAUGACUCGGCGGGCAGCUUCCGGGAAACCAGAGCUUUUGGGUUCCGGGGGAAGUAUGGUUGCAAAGCUGAAACUUAAAGGAAUUGACGGAAGGGCACCACCAGGAGUGGAGCCUGCGGCUUAAUUUGACUCAACACGGGAAAACUCACCAGGCCCGGACACCGGAAGGAUUGACAGAUUGAGAGCUCUUUCUUGAUUCGGUGGGUGGUGGUGCAUGGCCGUUCUUAGUUGGUGGAGCGAUUUGUCUGGUUAAUUCCGAUAACGAACGAGACUCUAGCCUACUAACUAGGCGUACCCGGUAUCCACAAUCGUGCUACCGGCGAUCAAAUUUCUUCUUAGAGGGACAGGCGGCUUCUAGCCGCACGAGACUGAGCAAUAACAGGUCUGUGAUGCCCUUAGAUGUCCUGGGCCGCACGCGCGCUACACUGAAGGAAUCAGCGUGUCUUCCCAGUCCGAAAGGACCGGGUAACCCGCUGAACCUCCUUUGUGCUAGGGAUUGGGGCUUGCAAUUGUUCCCCAUGAACGAGGAAUUCCCAGUAAGCGCGAGUCAUAAGCUCGCGUUGAUUACGUCCCUGCCCUUUGUACACACCGCCCGUCGCUACUACCGAUUGAAUGAUUUAGUGAGGUCUUCGGACUGGUGCGCGGAGGCCGCUCCGGCGGUCUCCGAUGUUGCCGGAAAGAUGACCAAACUUGAUCAUUUAGAGGAAGUAAAA